RNAcentral lists this ribosomal RNA (499 nucleotides) under uncultured bacterium. RNAcentral's name for it is "partial 16S ribosomal RNA". It matches the Rfam family "Bacterial small subunit ribosomal RNA", at positions 899 to 1397 of the family's 1533-position model. The record is from RNAcentral.
ACUCAAAUGAAUUGACGGGGGCCCGCACAAGCGGUGGAGCAUGUGGUUUAAUUCGAUGCAACGCGAAGAACCUUACCUACCCUUGACAUCCUAGGAAUCUUGAUGAAAGUUAAGAGUGCCGAAAGGAACCUGGAGACAGGUGCUGCAUGGCUGUCGUCAGCUCGUGUCGUGAGAUGUUGGGUUAAGUCCCGUAACGAGCGCAACCCUUGUCCUUCGUUGCUAACAGGUGAUGCUGAGAACUCGAAGGAGACUGCUGGUGAUAAACCGGAGGAAGGUGGGGAUGACGUCAAGUCAUCAUGGCCUUUAUGGGUAGGGCUACACACGUGCUACAAUGGGGAUAACAGAGGGAAGCGAACCCGCGAGGGGGAGCUAAUCCUUUAAAAUACCUCGUAGUCCGGAUCGGAGUCUGCAACUCGACUCCGUGAAGUCGGAAUCGCUAGUAAUCGCGAAUCAGAAUGUCGCGGUGAAUACGUUCCCGGGCCUUGCACACACCGCCCGU